RNAcentral lists this ribosomal RNA (395 nucleotides) under uncultured bacterium. RNAcentral's name for it is "bacterial SSU rRNA". It matches the Rfam family "Bacterial small subunit ribosomal RNA", at positions 361 to 773 of the family's 1533-position model. The record is from RNAcentral.
AUAUUGGUCAAUGGGGGAAACCCUGAACCAGCAACGCCGCGUGAGGGAUGACGGCCUUCGGGUUGUAAACCUCUGUCCUCUGUGAAGAAAAUGACGGUACCGAAUGAAUAAGCCACGGCUAACUACGUGCCAGCAGCCGCGGUAAUACGUAGGUGGCAAGCGUUAUCCGGAUUUACUGGGUGUAAAGGGCGUGUAGGCGGGACUGCAAGUCAGAUGUGAAAACUAUGGGCUCAACCCAUAGCCUGCAUUUGAAACUGUAGUUCUUGAGUGCUGGAGAGGCAAUCGGAAUUCCGUGUGUAGCGGUGAAAUGCAUAGAUAUACGGAGGAACACCAGUGGCGAAGGCGGAUUGCUGGACAGUAACUGACGCUGAGGCGCGAAAGCGUGGGGAGCAAAC